UGGCGGACGGGUGAGUAAUGUCUGGGAAACUGCCCGAUGGAGGGGGAUAACUACUGGAAACGGUAGCUAUACCGCAUAACGUCGCAAGACCAAAGAGGGGGACCUUUGGGCCUCUUGCCAUCGGAUGUGCCCAGAUGGGAUUAGCUAGUAGGUGGGGUAAUGGCUCACCUAGGCGACGAUCCCUAGCUGGUCUGAGAGGAUGACCAGCCACACUGGAACUGAGACACGGUCCAG
This 234-nucleotide ribosomal RNA is filed under the name uncultured bacterium. RNAcentral's name for it is "partial 16S ribosomal RNA". It matches the Rfam family "Bacterial small subunit ribosomal RNA", at positions 96 to 334 of the family's 1533-position model. The record is from RNAcentral.